This 500-nucleotide ribosomal RNA is filed under the name uncultured bacterium. RNAcentral's name for it is "partial 16S ribosomal RNA". It matches the Rfam family "Bacterial small subunit ribosomal RNA", at positions 30 to 523 of the family's 1533-position model. The record is from RNAcentral.
AUUGAACGCUGGCGGCAGGCCUAACACAUGCAAGUCGAGCGGAUGAGUGGAGCUUGCUCCAUGAUUCAGCGGCGGACGGGUGAGUAAUGCCUAGGAAUCUGCCUGGUAGUGGGGGACAACGUUUCGAAAGGAACGCUAAUACCGCAUACGUCCUACGGGAGAAAGCAGGGGACCUUCGGGCCUUGCGCUAUCAGAUGAGCCUAGGCCGGAUUAGCUAGUUGGUGAGGUAAAGGCUCACCAAGGCGACGAUCCGUAACUGGUCUGAGAGGAUGAUAAGUCACACUGGAACUGAGACACGGUCCAGACUCCUACGGGAGGCAGCAGUGGGGAAUAUUGGACAAUGGGCGAAAGCCUGAUCCAGCCAUGCCGCGUGUGUGAAGAAGGUCUUCGGAUUGUAAAGCACUUUAAGUUGGGAAGAAGGGCAGUAAGUUAAUACCUUGCUGUUUUGACGUUACCGACAGAAUAAGCACCGGCUAACUUCGUGCCAGCAGCCGCAGUAA